CGUAGGAGGCGAGCGUUGUCCGGAUUUACUGGGCGUAAAGAGCGCGCAGGCGGCAUGGCAAGUACGGAGUGAAAUCUCCCUGCUCAACGGGGAGGGUGCUUUGUAGACUGCCAAGCUCGAGGACGGUAGAGGGGGUAGAAUUGCUGGUGUAGCGGUGAAAUGCGUAGAGAUCAGCAGGAAUACCCGUGGCGAAGGCGGCCCCCUGGGCCGAACCUGACGCUGAGGCGCGAAGGCUAGGGGGAGCGGACGGGAUUAGAUACCCCGGUAGUCCUAGCAGUAAACGAUGGCCACUAGGUGUGGGGGGUGUUGACCCCUUCCGUGCCGAAGCUAACGCAUUAAGUGGCCCGCCUGGGGAGUACGGUCGCAAGACUA
Molecule: ribosomal RNA, 372 nt
Filed under: uncultured organism
Description: bacterial SSU rRNA
Rfam family: Bacterial small subunit ribosomal RNA
Source: RNAcentral